RNAcentral lists this ribosomal RNA (539 nucleotides) under uncultured fungus. RNAcentral describes it as "eukaryotic LSU rRNA". The stretch from base 140 to 293 matches the Rfam family "5.8S ribosomal RNA". The record is from RNAcentral. Lineage: Eukaryota; Fungi.
AGUACUAUAACUCAUAACCCUUUGUGAACCUUUAUACCUGUUGCUUCGGCGGCGCGCCUCCCGGGGCGUGCCCGCCGGCAUUAUCAGAAUCUCUGUUCGAACCCGACGAUACAUCUGAGUGUUCUAAGCGAACUGUUAAAACUUUCAACAACGGAUCUCUUGGCUCCAGCAUCGAUGAAGAACGCAGCGAAACGCGAUAUGUAAUGUGAAUUGCAGAAUUCAGUGAAUCAUCGAAUCUUUGAACGCACAUGGCGCCUUCCAGUAUCCUGGGAGGCAUGCCUGUCCGAGCGUCGUUUCAACCCUCGAGCCCCCGUGGCCCGGCGUUGGGGAUCUGCCCAGGCAGUCCCCGAAAACCAGUGGCGGACCCGUUGGGCCCUUCCUUUGCGUAGUAACAUCUGCCUCGCAUCGGGAGCCUGCGGGCUAUCCGGCCUCUAAACCCCCCUCAAGCCCGCUCCGGCGGCACCAAGGUUGACCUCGGAUCAGGUAGGAAUACCCGCUGAACUUAAGCAUAUCAAUAAGCGGAGGAAAAGAAACCAACA